CAGGCGUGUCUGCAGGGACGACCUCACCAACUCCUACCUUGGAUGCUGCACAAAAGCCCAGCUCCCAUGGCAGGGGUCCUCUGACAGGACAGAACAAGACAUGGCAGGCAGGAAAUUCCAGGACCCAUUAGAAAUCAUGUGGCAAAUGCUGAAGGAACGUCUGCAGAGAAGACAAGAAAUGAACAGAGAGCCUGUGCAGAAGGAAGCAUUUCCCGGAGGAAGCAGUGGUUCCAUGCCAGCCUCUGCUGCAGGAAUGGAGGCCAUGCCAGGCACAGGCACAGGAG
Passer domesticus (house sparrow) is the source of this 284-nucleotide long non-coding RNA. RefSeq lists it as uncharacterized. The transcript has 3 exons. The record is from RefSeq and is a predicted model, not a curated record. Lineage: Eukaryota; Metazoa; Chordata; Aves; Passeriformes; Passeridae.